UACGGAGGGUGCAAGCGUUGUCCGGAUUUAUUGGGUUUAAAGGGUGCGUAGGCGGCCCGUUAAGUCAGUGGUGAAAGCCUCCAGCUCAACUGGAGAACUGCCAUUGAUACUGGCGGGCUUGAGUACAGACGAGGUAGGCGGAAUUGAUUGUGUAGCGGUGAAAUGCAUAGAUACAAUCAAGAACACCGAUUGCGUAGGCAGCUUACUAGGCUGUAACUGACGCUGAGACGCGAAAGCGUGGGGAGCGAACAGG
This 253-nucleotide ribosomal RNA is filed under the name uncultured bacterium. RNAcentral's name for it is "partial 16S ribosomal RNA". It matches the Rfam family "Bacterial small subunit ribosomal RNA", at positions 524 to 776 of the family's 1533-position model. The record is from RNAcentral.